RNAcentral lists this ribosomal RNA (488 nucleotides) under Bacillus subtilis. Its description in RNAcentral is "bacterial SSU rRNA". It matches the Rfam family "Bacterial small subunit ribosomal RNA", at positions 393 to 871 of the family's 1533-position model. The record is from RNAcentral. Lineage: Bacteria; Bacillati; Bacillota; Bacilli; Caryophanales; Bacillaceae.
CACGCCGCGUGAGUGAUGAAGGUUUUCGGAUCGUAAAGCUCUGUUGUUAGGGAAGAACAAGUACCGUUCGAAUAGGGCGGUACCUUGACGGUACCUAACCAGAAAGCCACGGCUAACUACGUGCCAGCAGCCGCGGUAAUACGUAGGUGGCAAGCGUUGUCCGGAAUUAUUGGGCGUAAAGGGCUCGCAGGCGGUUUCUUAAGUCUGAUGUGAAAGCCCCCGGCUCAACCGGGGAGGGUCAUUGGAAACUGGGGAACUUGAGUGCAGAAGAGGAGGGUGGAAUUCCACGUGUAGCGGUGAAAUGCGUAGAGAUGUGGAGGAACACCAGUGGCGAAGGCGACUCUCUGGUCUGUAACUGACGCUGAGGAGCGAAAGCGUGGGGAGCGAACAGGAUUAGAUACCCUGGUAGUCCACGCCGUAAACGAUGAGUGCUAAGUGUUAGGGGGUUUCCGCCCCUUAGUGCUCCAGCUAACGCAUUAAGCACUCCG